UGGGGAAUAUUGGACAAUGGGCGAAAGCCUGAUCCAGCCAUGUCGCGUGUGUGAAGAAGGUCUUCGGAUUGUAAAGCACUUUAAGUUGGGAGGAAGGGCAGUAAGCGAAUACCUUGCUGUUUUGACGUUACCGACAGAAUAAGCACCGGCUAACUCUGUGCCAGCAGCCGCGGUAAUACAGAGGGUGCAAGCGUUAAUCGGAAUUACUGGGCGUAAAGCGCGCGUAGGUGGUUCGUUAAGUUGAAUGUGAAAGCCCCGGGCUCAACCUGGGAACUGCAUCCAAAACUGGCGAGCUAGAGUAGGGCAGAGGGUGGUGGAAUUUCCUGUGUAGCGGUGAAAUGCGUAGAAAUAGGAAGGAACACCAGUGGCGAAGGCGACCACCUGGGCUCAUACUGACACUGAGGUGCGAAAGCGUGGGGAGCAAACAGG
This 429-nucleotide ribosomal RNA is filed under the name Pseudomonadota bacterium. Its description in RNAcentral is "Proteobacteria bacterium partial 16S ribosomal RNA". It matches the Rfam family "Bacterial small subunit ribosomal RNA", at positions 355 to 776 of the family's 1533-position model. Lineage: Bacteria; Pseudomonadati; Pseudomonadota. The record is from RNAcentral.